Molecule: ribosomal RNA, 221 nt
Filed under: uncultured bacterium
Lineage: Bacteria
Description: partial 16S ribosomal RNA
Rfam family: Bacterial small subunit ribosomal RNA
Source: RNAcentral
CCCUUCAGAGGGGGACAACAGUUGGAAACGACUGCUAAUACCGCAUACGAUCUGACCUCGGCAUCGAGGAUAGAUGAAAGGUGGCCUCUAUUUAUAAGCUAUCACUGAAGGAGGGGAUUGCGUCUGAUUAGCUAGUUGGAGGGGUAACGGCCCACCAAGGCGGUGAUCAGUAGCCGGUCUGAGAGGAUGAACGGCCACAUUGGGACUGAGAUACGGCCCAG